RNAcentral lists this ribosomal RNA (432 nucleotides) under Metschnikowia pulcherrima. RNAcentral's name for it is "partial 26S ribosomal RNA". It matches the Rfam family "Eukaryotic large subunit ribosomal RNA", at positions 37 to 483 of the family's 3401-position model. Lineage: Eukaryota; Fungi; Ascomycota; Pichiomycetes; Serinales; Metschnikowiaceae. The record is from RNAcentral.
UGCAUAUCAAUAAGCGGAGGAAAAGAAACCAACAGGGAUUGCCUCAGUAACGGCGAGUGAAGCGGCAAAAGCUCAAAUUUGAAAUCCCCCGGGAAUUGUAAUUUGAAGAGAUUUGGGUCCGGCCGGCAGGGGUUAAGUCCACUGGAAAGUGGCGCCACAGAGGGUGACAGCCCCGUGAACCCCUUUAAAGCCCUCAUCCCAGAUCUCCAAGAGUCGAGUUGUUUGGGAAUGCAGCUCUAAGUGGGUGGUAAAUUCCAUCUAAAGCUAAAUACCGGCGAGAGACCGAUAGCGAACAAGUACAGUGAUGGAAAGAUGAAAAGCACUUUGAAAAGAGAGUGAAAAAGUACGUGAAAUUGUUGAAAGGGAAGGGCUUGCAAGCAGACACUUAACUGGGCCAGCAUCGGGGCGGCGGGAAACAAAACCACCGGGGAA